CGGGUGAGUAACACGUAGGUAAUCUACCUUCGGAUUGGGAAUAACAACCGGAAACGGUUGCUAAUACCGAAUAAUGCAGCGGCACCUAAUGGUGACAGUUGUUAAAGCGGGGGAUCGUAAGACCUCGCGUCUGAAGAGGAGCCUGCGGCGGAUUAGCUAGUUGGUAAGGUAAUGGCUUACCAAGGCGAUGAUCCGUAGCCGGCCUGAGAGGGCGGUCGGCCACACUGACACUGACAUACGGGUCAGACUCCUACGGGAGGCAGCAGUCGGGAAUUUUGGGCAAUGGGCGAAAGCCUGACCCAGCAACGCCGCGUGAAGGAUGAAAUCCCUCGGGAUGUAAACUUCGCAAGAACGGGAAGAAUAAGUGAGGGUUAAUAUCCCUUACGAUGACGGUACUGUUUGUAAGCUCCGGCUAACUCCGUGCCAGCAGCCGCGGUAAUACGGGGGGAGCAAGCGUUGUUCGGAUUUACUGGGCGUAAAGGGCGCGUAGGCGGCCACCGCAAGUCAGUUGUGAAAUCUCCGGGCUUAACCCGGAAAGGUCAACUGAUACUGCGGGGCUAGAGUGCAGAAGGGGCGACUGGAAUUCUCGGUGUAGCGGUGAAAUGCGUAGAUAUCGAGAGGAAC
RNAcentral lists this ribosomal RNA (624 nucleotides) under uncultured bacterium. RNAcentral describes it as "bacterial SSU rRNA". It matches the Rfam family "Bacterial small subunit ribosomal RNA", at positions 103 to 707 of the family's 1533-position model. The record is from RNAcentral.